AUGGACGACAACACCAGCACGCUCAAGGCGCUCAUGGAGACCGUUCUCUCACGCCUCGACGAGCAGAAGGCCGACAACGAAAAGCGACUCGAGGUGCAGGCCGCCUUCAACGCGCAGGUCGCGCAAGAUCUGCGGGCGCUGUCCAAGCAGGUGGAUCUCACCCAGGCCGACGUCGACGAGACUCGCAAGGCGCUCGAGAGGUCGCCGUCGCCGCGCGGAUCGGGACCGGGCGCCGUCCUCAACCCGUCACCACCUCCACCCCCGCCGCCUCCUCUGCGCCCUCCACCCGUGCACCAACAACAACAGGGACCGCCACCGUCCCCACGCCUCGCAGAUCAGCGGCCGCCUCUGCUUCAGGCGCCGCUCCAGCAGCAGAACGAGCCACAACUCCACCAACACCACGACAACUACAUCAAGCCGCCCAAGCACGAUUUUCCGCGCUUCGAUGGCACGGCGCCGUACCUCUGGCUGGAUCGCUGCCGCGCCUACUUCGACCUCUACCGCGUGCCGCCGUCAAGCUGGGUGACCACGGCGACGCUGUACAUCGAGGGCCAGGCCGCGCACUGGCUACGGGCAUUUCGUCAAACACAUGCUGGCCUGGGCUGGGAGGCGUUCUGCGCAGCGAUCAUCGAGGAAUUCGGCGCCGACGAGUUCGAGCUAGAGAUGCAGAAGCUUCUCCAACUCCGGUAG
This 690-nucleotide ribosomal RNA is filed under the name Triticum aestivum (bread wheat). RNAcentral describes it as "partial small subunit ribosomal RNA". Lineage: Eukaryota; Viridiplantae; Streptophyta; Magnoliopsida; Poales; Poaceae. The record is from RNAcentral.